GAUGAACGCUAGCGGCAGGCCUAACACAUGCAAGUCGAGGGGCAGCAUAGUAGCAAUACUGAUGGCGACCGGCGCACGGGUGCGUAACGCGUAUGCAACCUGCCUUAUACAGGGGGAUAGCUUUCGGAAACGAGAAUUAAUACCCCAUAACAUUUUGGUAAGCCUUUACUAAAAUUAAAAGCUCCGGCGGUAUAAGAUGGGCAUGCGUGACAUUAGCUAGUUGGUAGGGUAACGGCCUACCAAGGCGAUGAUGUCUAGGGGUUCUGAGAGGAUGAUCCCCCACACUGGUACUGAGACACGGACCAGACUCCUACGGGAGGCAGCAGUGAGGAAUAUUGGGCAAUGGAGGCAACUCUGACCCAGCCAUGCCGCGUGCAGGAAGACAGCCCUAUGGGUUUUAAACUGCUUUUAUACAGGGCGAAUUCUGUUACGUGUAACAGGUUGACGGUACUGUAUGAAUAAGGAUCGGCUAACUCCGUG
RNAcentral lists this ribosomal RNA (480 nucleotides) under uncultured organism. RNAcentral's name for it is "bacterial SSU rRNA". It matches the Rfam family "Bacterial small subunit ribosomal RNA", at positions 28 to 507 of the family's 1533-position model. The record is from RNAcentral.